GAUGAACGCUGGCGGCGUGCCUAAUACAUGCAAGUCGAGCGAACGGACGAGAAGCUUGCUUCUCUGAUGUUAGCGGCGGACGGGUGAGUAACACGUGGAUAACCUACCUAUAAGACUGGGAUAACUUCGGGAAACCGGAGCUAAUACCGGAUAAUAUUUUGAACCGCAUGGUUCAAAAGUGAAAGACGGUCUUGCUGUCACUUAUGGAUGGAUCCGCGCUGCAUUAGCUAGUUGGUAAGGUAACGGCUUACCAAGGCAACGAUGCAUAGCCGACCUGAGAGGGUGAUCGGCCACACUGGAACUGAGACACGGUCCAGACUCCUACGGGAGGCAGCAGUAGGGAAUCUUCCGCAAUGGGCGAAAGCCUGACGGAGCAACGCCGCGUGAGCGAUGAAGGUCUUCGGAUCGUAAAACUCUGUUAUUAGGGAAGAACAUAUGUGUAAGUAACUGUGCACAUCUUGACGGUACCUAAUCAGAAAGCCACGGCUAACUACGUG
RNAcentral lists this ribosomal RNA (497 nucleotides) under uncultured bacterium. RNAcentral describes it as "partial 16S ribosomal RNA". It matches the Rfam family "Bacterial small subunit ribosomal RNA", at positions 28 to 507 of the family's 1533-position model. The record is from RNAcentral.